RNAcentral lists this ribosomal RNA (548 nucleotides) under uncultured Glomeromycotina. RNAcentral describes it as "SSU rRNA". It matches the Rfam family "Eukaryotic small subunit ribosomal RNA", at positions 548 to 1098 of the family's 1831-position model. Lineage: Eukaryota; Fungi; Glomeromycota. The record is from RNAcentral.
UUGGAGGGCAAGUCUGGUGCCAGCAGCCGCGGUAAUUCCAGCUCCAAUAGCGUAUAUUAAAGUUGUUGCAGUUAAAAAGCUCGUAGUUGAACUUCGGGAUCAAGGAAUCGGUCAUGCCUUGGUAUGCACUGGUUUUAUCGGUUCUCACCUUCUAAAGAACCAUAAUGUCAUUCAUUUGAUGUUAUGGGGAAUUAGGACUGUUACCUUGAAAAAAUUAGAGUGUUUAAAGCAAGCUUACGCUUGAAUACAUUAGCAUGGAAUAAUGAAAUAGGACAUCCGAUUCUAUUUUGUUGGUUUCUAGGAUCGAUGUAAUGAUUAAUAGGGAUAGUUGGGGGCAUUAGUAUUCAAUUGUCAGAGGUGAAAUUCUUGGAUUUAUUGAAGACUAACUACUGCGAAAGCAUUUGCCAAGGAUGUUUUCAUUAAUCAAGAACGAAAGUUAGGGGAUCGAAGACGAUCAGAUACCGUCGUAGUCUUAACCAUAAACUAUGCCGACUAGGGAUCGGAUGAUGUUAAUUUUAUAAUGACUCAUUCGGCGCCUUACGGGAAAC